CCUACGGGAGGCUGCAGUGAGGAAUAUUGGUCAAUGGUCGGGAGACUGAACCAGCCAAGCCGCGUGAGGGAUGAAGGUACAGAGUAUCGUAAACCUCUUUUGUCAGGGAACAAAGGCGGGGACGCGUCCCCGGAUGAGUGUACCUGACGAAAAAGCAUCGGCGAACUCCGUGCCAGCAGCCGCGGUAAUACGGAGGAUGCGAGCGUUAUCCGGAUUUAUUGGGGUUAAAGGGCGCGCAGGCGGUCUGUUAAGUCAGCGGUCAAAGCCCCGGGCCAAACCCCGGCCCGGCCGUUGAAACUGGCAGUCUCGAGUUGGAGAGAGGUAUGCGGAAUGCGCGGUGUAGCGGUGAAAUGCAUAGAUAUCGCGCAGAACUCCGAUUGCGAAGGCGGCAAGCCGGCUCCACACUGACGCUGAGGCACGAAAGCGUGGGUAUCGAACAGGAUUAGAUACCCCAGUAGUC
This 460-nucleotide ribosomal RNA is filed under the name uncultured bacterium. RNAcentral describes it as "partial 16S ribosomal RNA". It matches the Rfam family "Bacterial small subunit ribosomal RNA", at positions 338 to 795 of the family's 1533-position model. The record is from RNAcentral.